Molecule: ribosomal RNA, 498 nt
Filed under: uncultured bacterium
Lineage: Bacteria
Description: bacterial SSU rRNA
Rfam family: Bacterial small subunit ribosomal RNA
Source: RNAcentral
AUUGAACGCUGGCGGCAUGCCUUACACAUGCAAGUCGAACGGCAGCACGGGAGCAAUCCUGGUGGCGAGUGGCGAACGGGUGAGUAAUAUAUCGGAACGUGCCCAGUCGUGGGGGAUAACGUAGCGAAAGCUACGCUAAUACCGCAUACGAUCUACGGAUGAAAGCGGGGGAUCGCAAGACCUCGCGCGAUUGGAGCGGCCGAUAUCAGAUUAGCUAGUUGGUGGGGUAAAAGCUCACCAAGGCGACGAUCUGUAGCUGGUCUGAGAGGACGACCAGCCACACUGGAACUGAGACACGGUCCAGACUCCUACGGGAGGCAGCAGUGGGGAAUUUUGGACAAUGGGCGCAAGCCUGAUCCAGCAAUGCCGCGUGCAGGAUGAAGGCCUUCGGGUUGUAAACUGCUUUGUACGGUAACGAAACGGUAGAGCUCUAAUAAAGACUUGCUAAUGACGGUACCGUAAGAAUAAGACACCGGCUAACUACGUAGCCAGCAGCCG